GGGGCGCUAGCUCAACAGCAGAGCAACCGGCUCUUAACCGGUCGAUCGGGGUGCGACUCCCUGGCGCUUCAUCA
This 74-nucleotide transfer RNA is filed under the name Myxococcales bacterium. RNAcentral's name for it is "tRNA-Lys". It matches the Rfam family "tRNA". Rfam says of the family: Transfer RNA (tRNA) molecules are approximately 80 nucleotides in length. Their secondary structure includes four short double-helical elements and three loops (D, anti-codon, and T loops). Further hydrogen bonds mediate the characteristic L-shaped molecular structure. tRNAs have two regions of fundamental functional importance: the anti-codon, which is responsible for specific mRNA codon recognition, and the 3' end, to which the tRNAs corresponding amino acid is attached (by aminoacyl-tRNA synthetases). tRNAs cope with the degeneracy of the genetic code in two manners: having more than one tRNA (with a specific anti-codon) for a particular amino acid; and 'wobble' base-pairing, i.e. permitting non-standard base-pairing at the 3rd anti-codon position. The record is from RNAcentral. Lineage: Bacteria; Pseudomonadati; Myxococcota; Myxococcia; Myxococcales.